GUGAUCAUCUUUCUUUGGAAAAUCCAUAACAAAGUCCUUCCAUGCAAAUCUGAGAUAAAAAGAGAAUUAAUUCUAUUGAUUUUGGGUGUGCUCUCUGCUACGAUAAGGAAGAGGACAUAAAUAAUCUGUUUUGGGAAUGUGAACAUGCUAGAGUAGUUUGAUUUAGAGACAUAAGCACAAAUUCAAAUUCAGUAAGAGAUUGGAUCAUCCAGAAGAUGAAAUUGGCACUAGCUAGCGGAUGAAAAUACCAUGAAAGAUGAGAUUAUAGGAUUGGCCAUAUUAUCCUAUAGAAAAUUUGGGUACACAAAAAUAAAAUAAUCUUUAAAGGAAUCAACCCUAAUCCGAUUGCAGUAAUCAAAGAAGUUGAGGAAUACAUUA
This 378-nucleotide long non-coding RNA is filed under the name Gossypium barbadense (sea-island cotton). RNAcentral describes it as "long non-coding RNA (GBAR_LNC022630)". Lineage: Eukaryota; Viridiplantae; Streptophyta; Magnoliopsida; Malvales; Malvaceae. The record is from RNAcentral.